UGGGGAAUAUUGCACAAUGGGCGAAAGCCUGAUGCAGCAACGCCGCGUGAACGAUGAAGGUCUUCGGAUCGUAAAGUUCUGUUGCAGGGGAAGAUAAUGACGGUACCCUGUGAGGAAGCCCCGGCUAACUACGUGCCAGCAGCCGCGGUAAUACGUAGGGGGCUAGCGUUAUCCGGAUUUACUGGGCGUAAAGGGUGCGUAGGUGGUCCUUCAAGUCGGUGGUUAAAGGCUACGGCUCAACCGUAGUAAGCCGCCGAAACUGGAGGACUUGAGUGCAGGAGAGGAAAGUGGAAUUCCCAGUGUAGGGGUGAAAUGCGUAGAUAUUGGGAGGAACACCAGUAGCGAAGGCGGCUUUCUGGACUGCAACUGACACUGAGGCACGAAAGCGUGGGUAGCAAACAGGAUUAGAUACCCUGGUAGUCCACGCUGUAAACGAUGAGUACUAGGUGUCGGGGGUUACCCCCCUCGGUGCCGCAGCUAACGCAUUAAGUACUCCGCCUGGGGAGUACGCACGCAAGUGUG
Molecule: ribosomal RNA, 522 nt
Filed under: uncultured bacterium
Lineage: Bacteria
Description: bacterial SSU rRNA
Rfam family: Bacterial small subunit ribosomal RNA
Source: RNAcentral